AAUAAAACAAAGAAGUGAAGUAGUAGAUACUUUUUGGAAAUUAGAGAUGUUAUGGUUGGUGCAAAUAACACGAAGAAGAGUUUUGAAUUCAUCAUGGAGUUGCUUGUCACAAAAGGCAAGCUGGUUAACAACCAUUAUCUUGUGUACCAAAGUGGUCAUCAAAAGAUGACAAACGAGGUGGUAACGCGGUGAAUCAUCGUCCUCAUA
Molecule: non-coding RNA, 207 nt
Filed under: Erysipelotrichaceae bacterium
Lineage: Bacteria; Bacillati; Bacillota; Erysipelotrichia; Erysipelotrichales; Erysipelotrichaceae
Description: T-box sequence
Rfam family: T-box leader
About the family: Uncharged tRNA acts as the effector for transcription antitermination of genes in the T-box leader family. T-boxes are found upstream of many aminoacyl-tRNA synthetase genes and some amino acid biosynthetic genes usually in Gram-positive bacteria.
Source: RNAcentral